AAUAUUUAACCUCAGCCUCAGCACUCAGCACAUGGAAUAGAAACUGUACAGUAUAGUAGAUAGCCAUGUCUACUACUCUGAUCCAAGUGACCAAUGUGUCGCCCUCUGCUGGCCUCCAACAAAUGAGGGAGCUGUUCAGUUACUUUGGAGACAUUGAGGAACUGAGGCUCUUCCCUGAGGAGGAGUUUGCUGCUCUGAGUGUCCCCUCCAAGGUGUGCUUCAUCAACUUCAUGGAGGAAGACAGUGCAGCUGCUUGUCUCCACCUUAGCAACACUGUGCUCAUAGACAGAGCUCUCAUCAUAGCACGAUCAAGACACGCUGAGAUUCCUGAUGGUUCAGCUGCGAUGUUCCUGGCAGCCCCGGCCAUUGCCCUGGCCAACAGCGCUAGCAAACCAAUGGGUCACACUGCACCUCUCCUCCCGACACCUCCCUCUAUGGGGGCACCAGCACCCACUGGACCAGCCUCCAUGGCUAUGGGAGCUGCUAUGAACCCUGCAGCUCUCACUGCCCCCCUCAUAUCCAUGAUGGGCACGGUGGUCCCCCAACCUCCCCCUCUCACUGGUAACGUAGACCCCACCAAGAUCGAAGAGAUACGACGCACCAUCUACGUCGGCAACCUGGCUAGCAACAUGACGGCUGAACAGGUGCUCACUUUCUUCCAGCCUUGUGGUGAGAUCAAAUACGUGAGGAUGGCCGGAGACGAGACCCAACCCACCAGGUUUGCGUUUGUUGAGUUUGCGAUACCUGAGUCUGUGCCCAUAGCCCUUCAAUACAAUGGAGCCAUGUUUGGAGAGCGUCCAAUCAAAGUGAACCACAGCAAGAAUGCCAUAGUGAAGCCUCAGGGCCCCACUGCCCAGGAAACCAAGAGGGACGUGGACGAGGCCAUGAAGAAGGUGAAGUGUGAAAGAGGCAAGGAUAGCCAUUGAUGCCAGUAUCGUGGUGCCAGAGGUGGUACAAGUACCUGUAGCCGCCACCAGAGGCCACCAAAGACAUGAUGAUGCUGAGAUUCCUACUGCAAUGUUCCUGGCAGCCCCAGCCAUUGCUCUGGCCAACGGCGCUAGCAAACCAAUGGGUCACACUGCACCACCUCAGGACCCCACUUCCCAGGAGACCAAGAAGGACGUGGACGAGGCCAUGAAGAAGGUGAAAGAGGCAAUGAUGGCCAUUGAGGCCCGUGUCCUGGUACCAGAGGUACAAGUACCUGUAGCCGCCAUCAGAGCCCACCAAAGACAUGAUCAAGUUGCAGAUAUGCUAUGAUCGAGUGAGGGCCUCCUCCCUGCGUACGCACAGUGGACCAGGAGGGGAGGGGACAGGGGCGGAGGUUGGGUACCCCCAGGAGGGUGCAGUUCAGUAGAGAUGUAGACUCUACUAACACUCACUCCUAGCUCUCCUAGAACCAGCUCUACAUGUAUAGUAUAGAGACAGUGUGUAAUUUUGAUCAAUGAUAUUUUUGUGGAUGUGUUGGGGGCGCAGCAUUUAAGGGAAAGUCCCAGCUUCCUCCCCGAGGCAAGGAGCUUUGCCGUAUCUUUAUAAACCGGUGAUGAUGGGACUGGCCAGUGAGUCAUAUGGCUUUUAAAGGUGAUCCUGAGAUUCAGAAACAGAAAGG
This is an RNA transcript of Halichondria panicea, 1606 nucleotides long. It is a transcript of the gene named splicing regulatory glutamine/lysine-rich protein 1-like, with no coding region annotated. NCBI's taxonomy places the organism in Eukaryota, Metazoa, Porifera, Demospongiae, Suberitida, Halichondriidae. The transcript has 8 exons. The record is from RefSeq and is a predicted model, not a curated record.